Molecule: long non-coding RNA, 396 nt
Filed under: Neodiprion pinetum (white pine sawfly)
Lineage: Eukaryota; Metazoa; Arthropoda; Insecta; Hymenoptera; Diprionidae
Description: uncharacterized LOC124216168
Source: RNAcentral
CAGACGUAUGAGAAUCGCGCUCCGCAAAUUUCGAGUACCUGGUUGUCUAUCUCCUGGAUCCUACGUUCCGGGGCCACUUUCUAGUGAAACUUGACUUCCAGGGCAAGCGCUUCGUGGUUCCUGCGCUCGAAGUCCGCUACCUGGUGGACAAGGAUUUCUGCACGUAUUCGAAGUAUAACCCAAGGUGGUUAUCAGUGGUUGUUGGUGGUGGUUGAAGGUGGUUGGAGGUGGUCGUAGGUGGACGAGGAGGACGAGGAUUUGUGGUACAUCCCGAGGUGGUUGUCAGUGGCUGUUGGAGGUGGUUGACGGUGGUUGGAGGUGAUCGGAGGCAGACGAGGAGGAGGACGAACUGAACUGAGUCUCAAAGCCCUGUUGACAUAAAAGCAGCUAUUCGAU